UACGUAGGUGACAAGCGUUGUCCGGAUUUACUGGGCGUAAAGAGCGCGCAGGCGGUCGAUCAAGUCGAGUGUGAAAGCCCCCGGCUCAACUGGGGAGGGUCAUUCGAUACUGAUCGACUCGAAGGCAGGAGAGGGUAGUGGAAUUCCCGGUGUAGUAGUGAAAUGCGUAGAUAUCUGGAGGAAUACCGGUGGCGAAGGCGGCAUCCUGGACCGACAUUGACACUGAGGAGCGAAAGCUAGGGGAGCAAACGGG
Molecule: ribosomal RNA, 253 nt
Filed under: uncultured bacterium
Lineage: Bacteria
Description: partial 16S ribosomal RNA
Rfam family: Bacterial small subunit ribosomal RNA
Source: RNAcentral